Molecule: long non-coding RNA, 1138 nt
Filed under: Gallus gallus (chicken)
Lineage: Eukaryota; Metazoa; Chordata; Aves; Galliformes; Phasianidae
Description: lncRNA (ENSGALG00010026280.1)
Source: RNAcentral
GCUUGAUUAACAGAUAAGAAGGUGCUACUGUUUUCAUUUUUGGAAGAAGAGAUGAAAUAUGUUUUUACUCGAUGGCUGAAGUGCUAAUUUCAGUGGAGAAAGCGGUGCUAAUGCAAGGCAAUUAAUCAUCUAUUUUGGUAAUUUACAGUAAUAAAUUAAUUCUCAUGGCACAGAGUGUGCUUCUAUAGAACAAACUCAAGGCUGUAGGAUAUGCCUCCCUGUAGAACUCAAAGCAGGCAUGUCCAACUCCAACACCACAGAAUGUAUGGAGCUGCAGUCAGAUCAGUAACUCAACAUCAGGUAUUCAGUUCAAAAUCUGAUCAUGUCUCUCUACCAAACUUCUACAAGCCCUCUCUUAGCACAGAGAUAUCCCUCUCUUCACAAUCACAUCUUAUCCACAUCAUCACUUUUUGGCAGCACAGACAUUUGUGAACAACCACAUUCAAGGAUGAAGCUCAGGAAGAGUCACAUUUCAUCCAACAUCUCUGACCAACACCACGAGACCUCACUGAGAGCUGCAGCCACUGCCACCGAACCACACCGAUGUGUUGGCUUCACAACUGCAAGGUCACAGAUCCCAGUAGUUUGAUGGCUUUGCUGCUCUCAUUUCUGUUUUAAUAAAAAAUAUUAAAAAUUAAAAUAAGCUUUAUUACUAAUGUACAUUAACUACAUCCUAUAUUUUACGAGGGCUGCUCCAAAAGUAAUGCCUCCUGUUUCAUGACGUCCACCCACCACAUCAGAGGCGGAUGGUGGUGGUACGGCAGUAGAGGUGGAACCUUCCCACCAAUAUCCCAUUCCAUGUUGUUGCCGUGUGACAGAUGGCAGCAGAGGGGCAGUCUGACACAGCGGUGUCUGACAUGGAAGUGCAGAUGAAGCAAAGGUGUGUCACUGAAUUCCUACAGGCAGAACAAUUGUCACCCACUGACAUUCAUUGACAUUUGCUGAGUGUUUCUGGAGACCAAAGAGUGCAUGUGAGCACAGAGAGGGGUGGGUGGUGCAUUUCAGCACUGGUGACAGUGGUCGCCUCCUCUGGUGCAGGUUUUGUCAUGUGCAGCAUGCACCUCUUGUUCACUGCUGGUGAAAAUGCACAGCUAAUAGUGGUGCCUAUGUUGAAAAGCAGUGUUUUGUUGCUGAGAAC